AUGGCAAGGGCGAGGAGGACGUCACAGACGACCUCAGGAUGCUCAUCGCCAUAUACAGGCCGUUCUCCACUUGAUUUAUGUCAGGAGUCGAAUCAAAACUGUGGUUCACUGUUCACAUUGGGUCUUCUAUCUGCUGGUAAAAGAACUCAAAGCAUGCUCGACGCAAUCAGACACAUCGAUCCGACGGCGCCGGUGUACCAUUGGAAAAUCAAUAGGUGUGAUGCUUUCUUGCGGGAAGUCAUGGGAGAAAAUCUUCACAAGGAAGUGAUCCUCGCGUCGCCAAAGGAGGACGAAGGCGAUUUUGGCUGCACCGUCAUCUGUGGGAAUGAAGUUCUUCACGGAGUUGCCAACUUCAUGGUAGCCAACCAACCUUCUCUCACUUCUCUUCUUGUUUUGUAUUGCACUGCCUAG
RNAcentral lists this ribosomal RNA (411 nucleotides) under Triticum aestivum (bread wheat). Its description in RNAcentral is "partial small subunit ribosomal RNA". Lineage: Eukaryota; Viridiplantae; Streptophyta; Magnoliopsida; Poales; Poaceae. The record is from RNAcentral.